Hipposideros armiger (great roundleaf bat) is the source of this 1252-nucleotide long non-coding RNA. RefSeq lists it as uncharacterized. The record is from RefSeq and is a predicted model, not a curated record. NCBI's taxonomy places the organism in Eukaryota, Metazoa, Chordata, Mammalia, Chiroptera, Hipposideridae. The transcript is spliced from 3 exons.
CAGGCGCUCUACUUCCCGGCCGGCCACGAGAAAGGGCUCCGGUAUCCUCAGCACGCUUCAGGCCUCGCCCUGGAGCACCCGCUGGCAGAUGCUCUUGGAGCUGCGUCGGGCGCGGAUGGGUGAUGCGUGUAGAGCACCUUCGUCCCUAAAGCUUAACCUCACUCAAAGUUCUGGAGACUGGAAGUCGGACAUCAAGGUGUCGCCGGCAGCUCUGAGCUUCCUCUGAAGGCUCUGGAAGAGAAUGCAUUCCUUGCCCCUUCCACCUUCUGCGAGCUGUCUGCAUUCCUUGGUGUUCCUUCUCUUGUGGCUGCAUCACUCCAAUCUCUGCCUCCAUCUAUGGCUUCUCCUCUGUGGGUGGGGCUGGAGGUUUGCUGAAAUGGACGGGGAGGGAAGCCAGGCCGGAGGAGUCCUGGGAAACCCACUGAGUCCAGAAACGUGUGGAGGGCAGAGGACCCUGCUCCCUGCCCUCGUCCCCCAGGAGAGUGGCACUGCUUUAAAAUAGUGGGUCUGCUCUCCUUGCAAGAAAAAAGUACGACUAAAUAAAUACAAUGUGCAGACUAAGACCUUCAAGUGACUUCAUCGUUUUCUGCCCCCUGGCUCGGCAGAUCCACAGGCAGGGGAGAGAGUGAGGGCCACGUGGCCCCCCCGUUGCUGUGGUCUUGGGCAGGAGCUACCCAUCGACGUACUGGGUGAGCCCUCCCACCGCCAGGGACAUGGGCAGGAUCACGGGACAGUGCCACUGGUUACUGGUAUAAUCACAUGACAAUCAAACACCUUUUCCUGAGUCACACCAUGGCUUCCCUCCUCUGGUUAGCUACACCUCCUCUUCCUGCAGCUGCCUCUUACAGUUUCUUUUCAUUUCUCCUCGCCCCAACCCGUCUUUUUUAAAGAAAUGAUAUAACUGUUCAUAGACCUGUUUCUGCAAAAUACUUAGUGGCUCCCCCAGUUCUCUUUCCUCUACGUCAGAUGGUCAGGGGGUUACCAGGAAUGUCGGGUCCACGGAAAGCCGGGAGGGUGGGCAGGUCUGUCCUUCCUCCUGCUCUGGGAAUGGGGGUCCCCACCCUCAGCCCGGCCUGUGGAACAGCCCCUGUUCCUAACCUCCCACAUUUCUGGUGCUCAGGAGACUUCAGAAAUGGCUCCUGAUGAAAACAGAGCUGGCGCUUGGAGGAAGACAAAAUACCGCUGGGACACAGAUUGUCCACGGAGUACAUUCUAAUAUCUUAUUAGGUAUCUGAAUCUGUUAGGAAAAAAA